Phalacrocorax carbo (great cormorant) is the source of this 1172-nucleotide non-coding RNA. Lineage: Eukaryota; Metazoa; Chordata; Aves; Suliformes; Phalacrocoracidae. The record is from RefSeq and is a predicted model, not a curated record.
CAGGCCCUGAAGCAGCGGGGCCGGGGGUCGCUGGCCGGGGCAGCGGAGGGGCUGCGGGCAGGAGGGAAGCGAGCGGGGCACGGCAGGCGGGGGACACUCUACCCCGCGCCCGGUUACACCGAAGAAGGGCGGGGAGGAACCUUCGGGCCACUCUCCCUUCCGUCCCCCUCCACGCAAGCGAACACACCGCGGGAGGAGGACAUACGCAAGAGAGACCUGUUGGCACAAACGCCUGUCGGAGGCGAAGCGAAAGGGUGGUGAGCAGGCAAAGCACUGAGGAGACCGAUUCCAGAUUGCUGUAUACGUGUUAGGUCUACAGGGACUGCACUUCGUGUCCACAUUGUGACUGCAGCUCUCUGUCUUAUAUUGACCUAUUAAAAAAAAAAAACACCAAACAAACCAAAAGAGAAGAAACAUCUCAUUGGAAAAGAUCACUAGGAAUUGUUCAAGAAACUGUGUGUUAUGGUGAAACACAGGAUGGUGCUUCAUGCUGAAAGUCAGGCACGUGCUGGAAAGAAGUGUCUGGGUGGGGCCCUUGCUACCUUUACAAGCGGCAAGUGAAGAACGCAUAGUAAAGUAUUACUGCAAACAGACCUGAAUCAGAACUUCACUCGUCACUACUGAAGGGAUAUCAGCUCAUGCUUUUGCCUUCACUCUUCAGCCAGCCCUAACAGAUCAAAGCAAUGAGUUUCUGAAGCUACUGGCAUUCCAGACAAAAUCAAAAGCUAUCAAAGGUAGUUUAUCCAAUGCUUCUCACCAACAGCAGAGUUCAGCGCAGUGGUGGGAAUAAGUAAAUCUGAGCUCCAACAUAUCCAUUUUGGAGAAAGGAAAACAGCUCAGUUGCAUUUCCCCCUUGCUUGAAAGGAGGAAGAAUAUAAAGUCAAUGUCUCAUAUCUGGUACAGAAAUAUCCUGGAAAAUGUACUUGGAAAGCAGGAGUAACACUGAGAAAGCCUUGGAGCUGCUUGGAGAAUCUCUGCUCUCCAAAAGAAAGGGCCCUGGAAGUGAGCCAUAGAAAUAAUUUCCAGACUUUGUUUUUCCAUGUACUUAUUUGAACCUUAAAAUUCUGCCUCCCACAUCCUGCUAAUGAUUUAGGCUUCAUUUUUUGAUAAAUAAUGGUAAAAGAAAGUGAAGCUCAUAAAUAACAAAAAUAAAGAUUUUAGACUUCCUACAA